UACAGAGGUGGCUAGCGUUGUUCGGAUUUACUGGGCGUAAAGCGCGCGUAGGCGGACCUGCAAGUCGGGUGUGAAAGCCCGACGCUUAACGUCGGAACUGCUUUCGAUACUGGGCGUCUUGAGUCCGGGAGAGGAGAGUGGAAUUCCUAGUGUAGAGGUGAAAUUCGUAGAUAUUAGGAGGAACACCAGUGGCGAAGGCGGCUUUCUGGCCGGGUACUGACCCUGAGGCGCGAAAGCGUGGGGAGCAAACAGG
RNAcentral lists this ribosomal RNA (253 nucleotides) under uncultured bacterium. RNAcentral's name for it is "partial 16S ribosomal RNA". It matches the Rfam family "Bacterial small subunit ribosomal RNA", at positions 524 to 776 of the family's 1533-position model. The record is from RNAcentral.